ACCACUUCCAAGUCCUGAGCUUUACUUUCUGCAAGGCAGUGAGUCUCCUGUCUGCUAGACGCCCAUGGACCAAAGCACUCACCCUCUUCAUGGAGUCACUUCCCCGCUCGGAGCUUCUGAAUCUUUAGAUCCUGUAACAGGUUCUAAGCCUCGGAUGUAGGUAAGUUUAUCUAUAAAGUUUCAUUCUGCUCUUAAGUGGUUGGAACAGACUUUCCUUAAAGGCUGGGCUGUUCUACUGGAGUAAUGAUUUAUCAGCUUUGCAGUCACUUCCUGUAUACUGUGAAGGUUUUGUAAUACAGGUCAAUUCACAGGACAGGAAAGAAACAUCAAAAAGAAUUGAACAGAGAAAUUCUGUGUAACUUAUUUUCUUUUAAAUGCUUUCCAGUUGUCAAGAGGAGAAGCCAGUCAGCGUUUUACUGUACCAUUGGAUCUCGAUUCAUGGGAGAGCCCAGCAAAGAGCUGUAGUUUCAUUAUAAAAGGCUGUA
RNAcentral lists this long non-coding RNA (485 nucleotides) under Phascolarctos cinereus (koala). RNAcentral describes it as "lncRNA (ENSPCIG00000032071.1)". The record is from RNAcentral. Lineage: Eukaryota; Metazoa; Chordata; Mammalia; Diprotodontia; Phascolarctidae.